RNAcentral lists this ribosomal RNA (253 nucleotides) under uncultured bacterium. RNAcentral describes it as "partial 16S ribosomal RNA". It matches the Rfam family "Bacterial small subunit ribosomal RNA", at positions 524 to 776 of the family's 1533-position model. The record is from RNAcentral.
UACAGAGGUCUCGAGCGUUAGGCGGAAUCACUGGGCUUAAAGCGUGUGUAGGCGGGUCGUUAAGUACCUUGUGAAAUCCCAUGGCUCAACCAUGGAACGGCUGGGUAUACUGCGGGUCUUGAGCAACCUAGGGGCAGACGGAACAAGUGGUGGAGCGGUGAAAUGCGUAGAUAUCACUUGGAACGCCGACGGUGAAAACAGUCUGCUGGGGGUUUGCUGACGCUGAGACACGAAAGCCAGGGGAGCGAACGGG